GUGAUUUCAUAAUAACAAGGAAGUCCACAUUUGAUAAACCAUGAAGUGGAAUCAUGUAGUUCCAGUCAGAAAAGGGCUUGGCCCUUUCUACAAAGCUGAGUUACUGGGUGAAUCCUGGUUACAACUCACAACUGAGUCAAGAAGCCAAAACCAAAUUGCCAGGCCCAGGAAGCAAUCAGAACAUGAGGAAAAAGCAAAGAUAUCACUGGAAAAACAGAACACACCCAUCAACAAGAUGGCGGAGGGAUUUCAAGACCCCAGUUGGAGCCAAAGUUGGUGAAGGACAAGGAGACCCAGUUUUCAAGAACGUGAAGCACUGUAGUACAAAAGCCUGCCUAGGGACACCAGCACCUAACCCAAUAUGCUUUAACAAAUGAGUAAAGGAAGAAUGCCAAGAUUUCCAGCCUGCAAAGCUUUGCCUCUGGGGAAUCUAUGGCCUUCUUGCAAGGGAUCUUCUAGUUUAUAAGCUCACCAACAUAAUUUGAGAUCCAGUGAAAAUGCUAUUUUCACCAUAUGUAUAUGCCACCAUUUUCAAGUGUAUGUAGAUUGGUUGUGACUAAUAAAAUACAAUAAACAAAUUAUAAAUUUAUCAUUUGUAUAUGUAUUAAUAAAAUAC
Molecule: long non-coding RNA, 616 nt
Filed under: Macaca nemestrina (pig-tailed macaque)
Lineage: Eukaryota; Metazoa; Chordata; Mammalia; Primates; Cercopithecidae
Description: lncRNA (ENSMNEG00000045933.1)
Source: RNAcentral